ACUCCAUUUCCAGAUAACCUCAACUGGAUAACCAAGAAUCUUCAUAGCUAGUUUGGAUGUGUUAUUUACAUUUUGUCUAAAUCACUCCUCUUUCAAAGGACCUUCAGAGCCAGUGACAGUAUGAAGAAAUAGCCAGCCUAAAUAACCUCACCAUUUAGUUACCAGAGGUUUCUUUGAAUUAAGCCUGAGUAGUGCUGCUAAAGAAUAACUUAGAAGAACCUACAGUAACUGAAAUCCAUAGCUUAAGACUUGGAAAACAAAGCCUGGGUCCCAGCACUGAAAAACACAGCCUGCAAAAGGUCAACGAACUCUACUCAGCCACAAGGACCAGUGAUCACUGCACACAAAAGACCAGCUAAUGACACCCAUCAAUCACAGUGACAGAUAAUCUCUCCCCCUUAUCACAACAAUACACCCACAAAAAAAAACUUGCUGAUCACCAUAAUCACUCAAUCUCCAGAACAGGACAAAAAGCUGAUCCCACAGCUAUAAAUACUUAACUAUCCCACAAACUGCACCAGAGUUCGGACUCCUGUCCUCUGAAGAUGCCAGCAACAGAGACUGGCAAAAGGUUAGGAAGAAAAACCUCAAGAACACGGCCAGACAGCCCGAAAAAUAUACAACAACCACUUGGAAAACAGUUAGGAAUUCACAGUAUUACUAUAUUUCUAAAAGGGUGGGAUUGCAAAAGAUGAAUGAGGAAGUGGACAUUUAUGUAUCUUGGCAGGGCAGAAUGAAGUAAUACAGGUUCUUGAUUUCUGUCUUGAGGGAAGCAUCUUUCACAAACAUGACAGUUGACUUUUCCCCUGUUUUCCUAACUUAUUUAAAUGAAAUUCAGCAGCUUUUUGCCCCAUCUCCAUCUCACCACACCAAAGGCACCAUGAAGACAUUUGGCAGCUUGCUCCUUGUGAGCAUCAUGAUCCUUUGGGUUGAAAUGCCGUGUGGAACGUUGGAACAGGAGACAGAAGGAAGGCUUCGGAUUUGCCCAAUAGAUCUAUGUAGAUGCAGUGGUCCUCUACCUGACGAGUGCACAGAUCAUUUUUCUUGCAAAAGAGGGCUGGUUUGUUGUUAUUCUUGCUGUAAAAAGCGCUGUGUGAAGCCAGCAACAGAAAAACCUGGUCAAUGUCCUCCUGCUAUCGCAAUUGCAUGUUUGAAACCACAGAGAGAUGAAUGCAGAGUGGAUGCUCAAUGUCCACGUAAACAGAAAUGUUGUUAUAAACCCUGCCGUCUCAGUUGUGUAGAUCCAAUAUAAAGUGAAAUCCAGGCACUGUUUGCCCCAUCUCCAUCUCGCCACACCAAAGGCUUCUUGCAAGGCUCGCUUCCGACAGAGACGAAAGACCAUUUUAGACAGCACCAUGAAGACAUUUGGCAGCUUGCUCCUUGUGAGCAUCAUGAUCCUUUUGGGUGAGAUGCCAUGCCGUACACUGGAACAAGAUAUAG
Molecule: long non-coding RNA, 1440 nt
Filed under: Pogona vitticeps (central bearded dragon)
Lineage: Eukaryota; Metazoa; Chordata; Lepidosauria; Squamata; Agamidae
Description: lncRNA (ENSPVIG00000023623.1)
Source: RNAcentral